AUUCUUCUUUUCGAUCUUGGGAAAAAAAAUCAUCACUCCUUUUGGGUUUCGUUAUGUUGGUGUUGUAAGAAAUGGAAUCCUUGGUUGUGCUUCUCGAUUAAUCCAGGACAUCACCUAUGUCAACAAAUGCAUCUUCAAUCACAACAUAGGAAUGGUUGCGUCCACUUUGGCAUAAUUGGAAGAGAUGAAUGAGAAAGAAGGUCAAGAGAUUGAAGAUGCAAAGAACACAGUCGCGGACGUCCAGAAGCAGUUUCACACCGAAGAAAUAAUGAUGCCUGAUUUUAGCAGUUUUCAGACAAUUGAAUAUGUUUCUCUUUGUAUUUUUAAUUUUAAAACCUCUCUACAAAGGAUAUAGAAGAUAGUGUUGCUACCUCUUA
This is a long non-coding RNA of Camelina sativa (false flax), 377 nucleotides long. RefSeq lists it as uncharacterized. The record is from RefSeq and is a predicted model, not a curated record. Lineage: Eukaryota; Viridiplantae; Streptophyta; Magnoliopsida; Brassicales; Brassicaceae.